RNAcentral lists this ribosomal RNA (573 nucleotides) under Basidiomycota sp. BEA-2010. RNAcentral describes it as "eukaryotic LSU rRNA". The stretch from base 195 to 348 matches the Rfam family "5.8S ribosomal RNA". The record is from RNAcentral. Lineage: Eukaryota; Fungi; Basidiomycota.
AUCGAGUUUUGAACGGGUUGUCUGCUGGCUCGCGAGAGCAUGUGCACGCCUGUCUCAUCCACUCUCAACUUCUGUGCACUUUUCAUAGGCCGGCUUGUGGGUGCGUUCGCGCACUUGUAGGUGUCGGGCUUAUGCUUUAUUACAAACGAUUCAGUUUUAGAAUGUCAUACUUUGCUAUAACGCAAUUUAUAUACAACUUUCAGCAACGGAUCUCUUGGCUCUCGCAUCGAUGAAGAACGCAGCGAAAUGCGAUAAGUAAUGUGAAUUGCAGAAUUCAGUGAAUCAUCGAAUCUUUGAACGCACCUUGCGCUCCUUGGUAUUCCGAGGAGCAUGCCUGUUUGAGUCUCAUGGAAUUCUCAACCUUCAGCUUUAUUGUUGAAGGCUUGGACUUGGAGGUCGUGCCGGCUCUCGUAGUCGGCUCCUCUGAAAUGCAUUAGUGCGAACGUUACCAGCCGCUUCAGCGUGAUAAUUAUCUGCGUUGCUGUGGAGGGGGUAUCUUAGUGUUCACGCUUCUAACCGUCUUCGGACAAAUUUCUGAACUCUGAGCUCAAAUCAGGUAGGACUACCCGCUGA